UGAAAGCUUAAAGCCUACCCGAUUUCCGCUCUCCCGUUUCUUACUCUUUUUCAACAACCGUCUCUUCGGUUUCACUUCCUCUCAGAUCUCUAACCAUCCAAACACGCUCUCUUUUCAACUGCAUUCUCUUCUAUGGCUACCAAAUUCUUCAUCUACGCUCUUUUAGCCUUCUUUGCUCCACAAGUUACUCUCUCUGCAACUCCACCGCCGGAAUCAGAGAGAGUAACUUGUAUAGCAAAG
Molecule: unclassified non-coding RNA, 240 nt
Filed under: Hevea brasiliensis (rubber tree)
Lineage: Eukaryota; Viridiplantae; Streptophyta; Magnoliopsida; Malpighiales; Euphorbiaceae
Source: RNAcentral